CCUACGGGCGGCUGCAGUCGAGAAUCAUUCACAAUGGGGGAAACCCUGAUGGGGCGACGCCGCGUGGGGGAAUGAAGGUCUUCGGAUUGUAAACCCCUGUCAUGGGGGAGCAAAUUAAAAAGAUAGUACCACAAGAGGAAGAGACGGCUAACUCUGGGCCAGCAGCCGCGGGAAUACAGAGGUCUCAAGCGUUGUUCGGAACCCCUGGGCGUAACGCGUGCGUAGGCUGUUUCGUAAGUCGUGUGUGAAAGGCGCGGGCUCAACCCGCGGACGGCACCUGUUACUGCGAGACUAGAGUAAUGGAGGGGGAACCGGAAUUCUCGGUGUAGCCGU
Molecule: ribosomal RNA, 333 nt
Filed under: uncultured bacterium
Lineage: Bacteria
Description: partial 16S ribosomal RNA
Rfam family: Bacterial small subunit ribosomal RNA
Source: RNAcentral